AACUUUCGACAGCGGAUCACUUGGCUCUCGCAUCGAUGAAGAACGCAGCGAAAUGCGAUACGUAAUGUGAAUUGCAGAAUUCAGUGAAUCAUCGAAUCUUUGAACGCAUAUUGCGCUCUUUGGUAUUCCGAAGAGCAUGCUUGUUUGAGUAUCAGUAAACACCUCAAAUCCUUCAAUUUGUUUUGAAGGCUUUGGACUUGAGCAAUCCCAACACCAGUCUUUACGAUCGGGGGAGGCUUGCUUGAAAUGCAUGUGCAGCUAAAAAUUCUCCGUAGUUAUACGCAUAUUUAUUCAGCCCCGUCGAACGGAUUAUUACUUUUGCUGCAGCUAACAUAAAGGGAGUCUGACCAUAUUGGCUGACUGAUGCAGGAUUUCACAAGGGUCGGCAACGAUUCUUGUAAAACUCGAUCUCAAAUCAAGUAAGACUACCCGCUGAACUUAAGCAUAUCAAUAAGCGGAGGCU
Molecule: unclassified non-coding RNA, 463 nt
Filed under: uncultured fungus
Lineage: Eukaryota; Fungi
Description: sequence contains ITS2
Rfam family: 5.8S ribosomal RNA (bases 1-154)
Source: RNAcentral